GGUGCUAUAGCUCAGUGGCAGAGUGCUUGCCUAGCAUGCAUGAGGCACUGGGUUCAAUCCUCAGCACCA
Molecule: transfer RNA, 69 nt
Filed under: Marmota marmota marmota (Alpine marmot)
Lineage: Eukaryota; Metazoa; Chordata; Mammalia; Rodentia; Sciuridae
Also listed under: 1 other name
Rfam family: tRNA
About the family: Transfer RNA (tRNA) molecules are approximately 80 nucleotides in length.
Source: Rfam by way of RNAcentral